GCUGAUUGGUCUUGGGGGCGGGGCUCCGGAAAGAGCCCCGGCUUCUCGCGGAGCGACAUAGGUCUCGUGAUGGCGAGCUGCGCCUGCGCCCGAGCGCCUUGACCGCUUCGAAGUGUGGCCGCGGGAGACUCGUGAUGGCGGUGCUCGAGAAAUAAGUCCCGAAGCGCAAUGCGCAUGUGCUUACCCGCCCCGCCUCCCAGCUUCUGGGUCACGAAUUAAAGGGACAGUGUCUGAUCAAUUACCACUCUGGAGCCGGAAGAAACUUUAUCCCCAGCUUCGUGCCCAACCCCCUCGUUUUUACAGUUAAAGACUUGGUUCUGAGCAGGGUUUGCCUCAGCUGUCCCAGAGGUACAGGAAACACGCCAAAGGGUGAAGAAUCCCUCCUCUGGUCCGACUGCUUCAUUUUGCAGAUGAGGAAACUGAGGCCCAGAGAGUCACCUCAGGCCACCCAGCCAGUGAUUUAGUAGAAAAGCAAGAUGAGAACUCCGGAGAAGGAAUUCCUUUCAAUAGCCUCCAUUUCCAGGGUCAGGCAGUGUGACCGUAUCCUGAGGAUCUUGGAGCCAGCAGGACGCACACUAGGGCAUCUGCUCAUUUCAUCAACAUCCCCGCUAAGGCCCUUGCUCCAAAGAGACGCCCCAGAGGUGCCUUGGCUGGGCAGUGAGGGGGCCUGGGACUCCUACCAGGUCUCAGGGUCCGGAGAGUCAUGGAUAUGACAAGGCCAUCUGUGCAAUGUUAGUUCAUGUAUGAAAACAUGUUUCUCAUAUUUAACCACAGCCCUUUGUAACUAGGAUGGAGCUUUUGAGUUAAUGAAUGAAUAAAUGUGUAAGAAGGGGCAUUA
Molecule: non-coding RNA, 838 nt
Organism: Phascolarctos cinereus (koala)
Lineage: Eukaryota; Metazoa; Chordata; Mammalia; Diprotodontia; Phascolarctidae
Source: RefSeq, a predicted model, not a curated record